GAACCUCAAUCCUCAGAUCUCAGCCUCCUUAGUUACUAGGAUUACAGGUAUAAGCCACUGACAUCUGGUGCAAACAGUUUUUGGAAACAGAAAAACAUCUUAUUUGACAGCAAAAGGGAGUAAAUGGUUUGAAUAAAGACCUAAUCACUAAUUAAUCCACAUGGAAAGUUUUCCUAAUUUUCUUUGUAAUGAAAGCUGAGAAGGUAUUAGCCAUCUUAACCUGAGCCAUACUAAUCCUACUUGCUUUUCUAAAUAUAAUAAAAACAGCAGACAGUCUCAAAGUACAUUAUUAAUUAGACAUGAUUAAAAGUUAGUUUCAUUAUCUCAUUUACCUUUGGAGUUUCCAGACAUUAAUAAUCACCAAAAAGUUCUCACUGAUUUAUAAUAUGUAUUAUCACAUCAUGACCCUAAAACUCUGGGCCUCAAAGAACAAGGCAUAAAUAUGCUUUAGACACCUAUCUGUAAUCACAGAAGAAAACAAUUAGGAUUCACCUAAUUGGAGUGAGUCUCCAGGUUCAUUUCAUUCCAUUCCAAGUUACUGGUACUGUUUUUCCUAUGUCCAAAGCUCCAUGUAGAGAAAGUUCUUAGAAUUAAAACACUUUUGAAGAUGUAUAGCUUAGCUUGAUCCUGGGACAUCUAGGGUAAACAUUUUAUGGUAUUGCACAGUAACAAAAGUUUACAGCCAUAGAUAACACAGGAUCUGAUCUGCAGGAACACACUUGGGGUUUAAGGCUGACAUCGGAAAGCAACCAUUUCUGGAACAGUUGUCAAUUAGCUUUACACAGUGU
Long non-coding RNA from Dipodomys spectabilis (banner-tailed kangaroo rat), 788 nucleotides. RefSeq lists it as uncharacterized. NCBI's taxonomy places the organism in Eukaryota, Metazoa, Chordata, Mammalia, Rodentia, Heteromyidae. The record is from RefSeq and is a predicted model, not a curated record. The transcript has 2 exons.